This 476-nucleotide ribosomal RNA is filed under the name Limnodrilus grandisetosus. Its description in RNAcentral is "partial 16S ribosomal RNA". It matches the Rfam family "Bacterial large subunit ribosomal RNA", at positions 1832 to 2597 of the family's 2925-position model. Lineage: Eukaryota; Metazoa; Annelida; Clitellata; Tubificida; Naididae. The record is from RNAcentral.
UGCCACUCGAACAUAUGAAUGGUACAUCCUGCCCAGUGACUCAUUAAACGGCCGCGGUAUCCUGACCGUGCAAAGGUAGCAUAAUCAUUUGCCUAUUAAUUGUAGGCUAGUAUGAACGGACAAACGCGGAUCUAACUGUCUCCUUUUAGAAUCUAAAAUUUUAUUUUUAAGUGAAGAAGCUUAAAUUUACUCGCAGGACAAGAAGACCCUAUAGAGCUUUACCUUAAGCCUCAUAUAGAGAGUAUACGGUUCGGUUGGGGCGACCAAGGAAUAUUAAACAUCCUGCAACGAUCAGAUAUACAAAUCUAUCAAAGAUCCUUAUUAAAGAUCAUAGAAUCCAGCUACCUUAGGGAUAACAGGCUAAUUCCCCUAGAGAGCCCAUAUUGACAGGGGAGAUUGGCACCUCGAUGUUGGCUUAGGAUAUCUCUGUGCUGCAGCUGGCACAAUUAGAUGGUUUGUUCAACCAUUAAAUUCCU